AUGCCUCCACUUCAUGUCACAUGGGUGUGCGCAUGGUGUUCGUCUCUCGCCGCUGUUACCAGACAGGCAGAAGAGUGGCAGCCUACAGAACAAAGCACCGUCUGCUUGUACUGGCCCUAUUUCACUGCAUUUCCCCACAAUUUGUUGCAACAAAGAACCAUCUUUUUGGUAGCACAAUGGUUUGCAGAAUCAUGGCAGCUGGGACUAAAUUGUACUGCUGUGAAUCAAAACUUCACUGCUAUGCAAUCAAAAUUACAGCUGCAAGAAGGAUACGUGAUUCCAGAAAUGUCCCCCAACAUGUACUGGGCAGCUACGGAGCCUGUACUGACAAUGAACUAUGGAUCGACAGCUAGAGGCAGAGGAGCUCCACCCCGGCGAGUCGAGAGUAAAUCCACACAUGGCAGCGCAUUCAGUUGA
Molecule: ribosomal RNA, 417 nt
Filed under: Triticum aestivum (bread wheat)
Lineage: Eukaryota; Viridiplantae; Streptophyta; Magnoliopsida; Poales; Poaceae
Description: partial small subunit ribosomal RNA
Source: RNAcentral